UCCGGUAAAUAUUGGAGUGGCACGUAAAAUGAAAUAAACAAACCCAGAGAAGAAAAAAUGAAACACAAGACACAGGGGUGGGGAUAUCAUACAAGGAGGGGCUUACAUGCAAUAAAGACCUAAUAAUCAAACAAAUACGAAAAGAAAUAAAGAAAUAAAAAAAAAACACAAAAUAAGAUAAAACAAAAACAGUCCAAAAAGAGUAGGGAUGCAGAGAAAAGACGGGGGUGCAAAAGAAAUUCGUUUGGUCAAGCUCCUUUGGACUUAGGCCUAACCUCUUUUUCAGAUCAGAGUAGGGUUUCUUCUUCAUCAUUUCAGAAACGAAACCCAGGUCUCCUCUUCUCCUUCAUUCACGGCAACCCCUGCCCCGGGCCCGAACACAAUCAUCGCAACCCUCUCUGGCCGGCCAAGAACGCUGCCGGAGCCGUCGCGGUCGUCGGAAGUGUCGCCGUUCGCGGUUCUCCUCCUUUCGUGCGCUACGAACGACCUUCUUCAUCUUCUCUUGCGCGGACCUUUCUUCCACCGAACCAGGCGCCAUGAUAAUCUUCGAGCUUGGCCAGAGGUCCUCGCCGGUCGUCGCCAAGAUCGUCGGCGACGUUACUCAUGGUGCUGAACAAGAUGGAGGGGAGAAUGAAAGAUGAACUGUUGUUCAGGUGUUGAACAAGAUAGGGGAGAAUGGAAAAUAAAUGGAUGAUGAAGAAGGUGUUUCUCUGUGCCAGUGGAAAUGGAUGUCAUGAAGACAAAGAGGAAUCAAUUUGUGUGUGAGAGAUGACUAUCGAAUGUUCUUCCCUCUCUGUAUGAAAAUGAUUUUGGGGUUUUUGAUAGUUGGAAGAUGAAUUUGAAGUUGGGUGGGAGAAUGAGAUUCAGUGAUGUGCGUGCUAGAGGAAUGGUUUCUCAGGAGGUCUCCCUGUUGAGUGAGUAGAGAGUGAAUAGAAAGGAGUUGAGAGUAGUGUCUGAGUGAAUGAUGUUGGUGCCUGGGUGAGGGGAGUCCUGUUUCUUGGGGUGGUUACGGGUGUGUGAAUGAUGAUGGUCUUAGGAAACGUGGUGAAGGCGGAGGUUUUUGGUCAGAGAUGAAUGAUGGAUGCCGUUGGAGAUGAGGAAUUGGGAGUGAAAGGGAAAUGUGGUUAGGGUGGAUACGGGUGAGAUGAGCAGAGGGGUGGAGAGCCAAAAAAAGAGUGUAUGUCCGUGUACCUGAAUGAUGAUGGUGCUCCCCAAAACGAAUUCCCUCUAACCUUUUCUCGCACUGCUCUCCUUCCAAAACGUGUCCUCUUUUGUGAACAAACUUUUUUUUCUUUCGUUUCUUUUUUUCUUUUUGUUUUCUUUUUAAAAUACUCAUAUGGAAAAUCAAAUAAUAAAAAAAUGAAAUAAAAUAAUAGUAAAAAACAGAAUUAAAAUCAUAAAAAGACAAAAUAAAAUAAGAUAAAAAAAAGAAAGACCUA
This 1439-nucleotide small RNA is filed under the name Vigna angularis var. angularis. RNAcentral describes it as "Non-protein coding transcript". Lineage: Eukaryota; Viridiplantae; Streptophyta; Magnoliopsida; Fabales; Fabaceae. The record is from RNAcentral.